Small nucleolar RNA from Saimiri boliviensis boliviensis (Bolivian squirrel monkey), 83 nucleotides. The record is from Ensembl. Lineage: Eukaryota; Metazoa; Chordata; Mammalia; Primates; Cebidae.
UUCGUUGUUGUCAAUGAUGUAUUGUUGGAACUGAAUCUAAGUGAUCCGACUCUAUUCGUCACUACCACUGAGACAAUGACGAG